This 432-nucleotide ribosomal RNA is filed under the name uncultured bacterium. Its description in RNAcentral is "partial 16S ribosomal RNA". It matches the Rfam family "Bacterial small subunit ribosomal RNA", at positions 29 to 506 of the family's 1533-position model. The record is from RNAcentral.
AACGAACGCUGGCGGCAUGCCUAACACAUGCAAGUCGAACGAGACCUUCGGGUCUAGUGGCGCACGGGUGCGUAACGCGUGGGAACCUGCCCUUAGGUUCGGAAUAACUCCCCGAAAGGGGUGCUAAUACCGGAUAAUGUCUUCGGACCAAAGAUUUAUCGCCUUUGGAUGGGCCCGCGUUGGAUUAGCUAGUUGGUAGGGUAAAAGCCUACCAAGGCGACGAUCCAUAGCUGGUCUGAGAGGAUGAUCAGCCACACUGGGACUGAGACACGGCCCAGACUCCUACGGGAGGAAGCAGGGGGGAAGAUUGGACAAUGGGCGAAAGCCUGAUCCAGCAAUGCCGCGUGAGUGAUGAAGGACUUAGGGUUGUAAAGCUCUUUUACCCGGGAUGAUAAUGACAGUACCGGGAGAAUAAGCACCGGCUAACUCCGU